UACGGGGGGAGCAAGCGUUGUUCGGAUUUACUGGGCGUAAAGGGCGCGUAGGCGGUCGUGACAAGUCACUUGUGAAAUCUCCGGGCUUAACUCGGAACGGUCAAGUGAUACUGUCGGACUAGAGUACAGAAGGGGCAACUGGAAUUCUCGGUGUAGCGGUGGAAUGCGUAGAUAUCGAGAGGAACACCUGCGGCGAAGGCGGGUUGCUGGGCUGAUACUGACGCUGAGGCGCGAAAGCCAGGGGAGCGAACGGG
RNAcentral lists this ribosomal RNA (254 nucleotides) under uncultured bacterium. RNAcentral's name for it is "partial 16S ribosomal RNA". It matches the Rfam family "Bacterial small subunit ribosomal RNA", at positions 524 to 776 of the family's 1533-position model. The record is from RNAcentral.